RNAcentral lists this ribosomal RNA (497 nucleotides) under uncultured bacterium. RNAcentral's name for it is "partial 16S ribosomal RNA". It matches the Rfam family "Bacterial small subunit ribosomal RNA", at positions 28 to 507 of the family's 1533-position model. The record is from RNAcentral.
GAUGAACGCUGGCGGCGUGCCUAAUACAUGCAAGUCGAGCGAACGGACGAGAAGCUUGCUUCUUUGAUGUUAGCGGCGGACGGGUGAGUAACACGUGGAUAACCUACCUAUAAGACUGGGAUAACUUCGGGAAACCGUAGCUAAUACCGGAUAAUAUUUUGAACCGCAUGGUUCAAAAGUGAAAGACGGUCUUGCUGUCACUUAUAGAUGGAUCCGCGCUGCAUUAGCUAGUUGGUAAGGUAACGGCUUACCAAGGCAACGAUGCAUAGCCGACCUGAGAGGGUGAUCGGCCACACUGGAACUGAGACACGGUCCAGACUCCUACGGGAGGCAGCAGUAGGGAAUCUUCCGCAAUGGGCGAAAGCCUUACGGAGCAACGCCGCGUGAGUGAUGAAGGUCUUCGGAUCGUAAAACUCUGUUAUUAGGGAAGAACAUAUGUGUAAGUAACUGUGCACAUCUUGACGGUACCUAAUCAGAAAGCCACGGCUAACUACGUG